ACGGGGAGCACCACAACAGGUGGAGCCUGCGGUUUAAUCGGACUCAACGCCGGGAAACUCACCAGAUAAGACAGCUGAAUGAUAGUCGGGCUGAAGACUCUACUUGACUAGCUGAGAGGAGGUGCAUGGCCGUCGUCAGUUCGUACUGUGAAGCAUCCUGUUAAGUCAGGCAACGAGCGAGACCCACGCCAACAGUUGCCAGCUCGUCCUCCGGGAUGGUGGGGACACUGUUGGGACCGCCUCUGCUAAAGAGGAGGAAGGAAUGGGCAACGGUAGGUCAGCAUGCCCCGAAUUAUCUGGGCUACACGCGGGCUACAAUGGGUGGGACAAUGGGUAUCGACACCGAAAGGUGAAGGCAAGCUCCUAAACCCAUCCGUAGUUCGGAUUGUGGGCUGCAACUCGCCCACAUGAAGCUGGAAUCUGUAGUAAUCGUGUCUCAAAAUGGCACGGUGAAUAUGUCCCUGCUCCUU
This 470-nucleotide ribosomal RNA is filed under the name uncultured Methanomicrobiales archaeon. RNAcentral's name for it is "bacterial SSU rRNA". It matches the Rfam family "Archaeal small subunit ribosomal RNA", at positions 871 to 1337 of the family's 1478-position model. The record is from RNAcentral. Lineage: Archaea; Methanobacteriati; Methanobacteriota; Methanomicrobia; Methanomicrobiales.